Molecule: transfer RNA, 73 nt
Filed under: Lewinella sp. 4G2
Lineage: Bacteria; Pseudomonadati; Bacteroidota; Saprospiria; Saprospirales; Lewinellaceae
Rfam family: tRNA
About the family: Transfer RNA (tRNA) molecules are approximately 80 nucleotides in length. Their secondary structure includes four short double-helical elements and three loops (D, anti-codon, and T loops).
Source: Rfam by way of RNAcentral
GCCGCCCUAGCUCAGCUGGUAGAGCAAUUCAUUCGUAAUGAAUAGGUCGUCGGUUCGAGUCCGAUGGGCGGCU